Molecule: long non-coding RNA, 671 nt
Organism: Dermacentor silvarum
Lineage: Eukaryota; Metazoa; Arthropoda; Arachnida; Ixodida; Ixodidae
Exons: 2
Source: RefSeq, a predicted model, not a curated record
CCUCGAUGCAAGUGCGCAGCAAUGUUCCGUGCGCGAGCAGCGUGUGCUUUAUUUGUGUCUUUUCGACUUUUGUGCGGUUGACCAUGGCCCAAGUACGUAUAUACUAGGCAGAACUGUACAGUUGCGUGCUGAAAUUUAGAGCUGUGCUUCUGACUGCUAUUUGUGGUACGUUUGUUCGCCUUGCGGAGCGCUUACGGGAAUGUUCUGGAGGCAAUGUUUUGAUGGUUAAUUUUCGCACAUGUUUGUAUCGCUUGGUUUCCAGCGUUCCUCUUCAAUGGUCAGGGAUAUUUCUCAUUUGCAAUGCCUAUCUCUAAGUCUCUGGCAGCAUUAUGUUAUUGGCACUUUUGUGAUCUGAGAAGCUGCCUGACCAAGUUGCCUAUCAAGAUGAACAUUCCAUCUCUGGAUUCUGCUUGCGUGGAAUUUAUUUUACCAUAUAUUUUUCAAUGCAGCUAGAAAGUACUGGCUUUCUAUCUUGAAUCCGGUGGCCCCAGAAGCAGGUGCUGGCAAGCAGGCCAUGCACUUUUGGUCAUUAAUUAAUCCGCGUUUAACCUGUUUGUAUACAGCGAGAACAUGUAAUGAAUAAUUUCAUACAUGUGCGUGGCUGGGGGCCGAUCAUUUUUGUAAUAAAGCUUUAUCAGUUGUAUAAAUAAAAAAGUAACAUUGGUAUGACA